GGAGGAACCUCUGGAGAGAACCGUUUAACCGGUCGCCGAAGGAGCAAAUCUCAUGCGUAUCAUGAGAUGAAACUUUCAGGCAAAAGGACAGAGGAGAGAAG
RNAcentral lists this non-coding RNA (101 nucleotides) under Vibrio aerogenes. Its description in RNAcentral is "Glycine sequence". It matches the Rfam family "Glycine riboswitch aptamer". Rfam says of the family: This family represents the bacterial glycine riboswitch. Glycine riboswitches usually consist of two metabolite-binding aptamers domains with similar structures in tandem. RNAcentral also lists the same sequence under 1 other name. The record is from RNAcentral. Lineage: Bacteria; Pseudomonadati; Pseudomonadota; Gammaproteobacteria; Vibrionales; Vibrionaceae.